Oncorhynchus keta (chum salmon) is the source of this 671-nucleotide long non-coding RNA. RefSeq lists it as uncharacterized. The record is from RefSeq and is a predicted model, not a curated record. NCBI's taxonomy places the organism in Eukaryota, Metazoa, Chordata, Actinopteri, Salmoniformes, Salmonidae. The transcript is spliced from 4 exons.
UCCGUCCAUGUGUCCGUCCCUCCUCAGAUCAGUGUGUGUCUGCGUCUGUGCAGGGCCAGGUCCCCCCUCCUCAGAUCAGUGUGUGUCUGCGUCUGUGCAGGGCCAGGUCCCCCCUCCUCAGAUCAGUGUGUGUCUGCGUCUGUGCAGGGCCAGGUCCCCCCUCCUCAGAUCAGUGUGUGUCUGCGUCUGUGCAGGGCCAGGUCCCCCCUCCUCAGAUCAGUGUGUGUCUGCGUCUGUGCAGGGCCAGGUCCCCCCUCCUCAGAUCAGUGUGUGUCUGCGUCUGUGCAGGGCCAGGUCCCCCCUCCUCAGAUCAGUGUGUGUCUGCGUCUGUGCAGGGCCAGGUCCCCCCUCCUCAGAUCAGUGUGUGUCUGCGUCUGUGCAGGGCCAGGUCCCCCCUCCUCAGAUCAGUGUGUGUCUGCGUCUGUGCAGGGCCAGGUCCCCCCUCCUCAGAUCAGUGUGUGUCUGCGUCUGUGCAGGGCCAGGUCCCCCCUCCUCAGAUCAGUGUGUGUCUGCGUCUGUGCAGGGCCAGGUCCCCCCUCCUCAGAUCAGUGUGUGUCUGCGUCUGUGCAGGGCCAGGUCCCCCCUCCUCAGAUCAGUGUGUGUCUGCGUCUGUGCAGGGCCAGGUCCCCCCUCCUCAGAUCAGUGUGUGUCUGCGUCUGUGCAGGGCCAGG